UGACUNGAGUGCAGAAGGGGAGAGUGGAAUUCCAUGUGUAGCGGUGAAAUGCGUAGAUAUAUGGGGGAACACCAGUGGCGAAAGCGGCUCUCUGGUCUGUCACUGACGCUGAGGCUCGAAAGCGUGGGUAGCGAACAGGAUUAGAUACCCUGGUAGUCCACGCCGUAAACGAUGAGUGCUAGGUGUUAGGCCCUUUCCGGGGCUUAGUGCCGGAGCUAACGCAAUAAGCACUCCGCCUGGGGAGUACGACCGCAAGGUUGAAACUCAAAGGAAUUGACGGGGGCCCGCACAAGCGGUGGAGCAUGUGGUUUAAUUCGAAGCAACGCGAAGAACCUUACCAGGUCUUGACAUCCCGAUGCUAUUCUUAGAGAUAGGAAGUUACUUCGGUACAUCGGAGACAGGUGGUGCAUGGUUGUCGUCAGCUCGUGUCGUGAGAUGUUGGGUUAGGUCCCGCAACGAGCGCAACCCUUAUUGUUAGUUGCCAUCAUUAAGUUGGGCACUCUAGCGAGACUGCCGGUAAUAAACCGGAGGAAGGUGGGGAUGACGUCAAAUCAUCAUGCCCCUUAUGACCUGGGCUACACACGUGCUACAAUGGUCGGUACAACGAGUUGCGAGCCGGUGACGGCAAGCUAAUCUCUGAAAGCCGAUCUCAGUUCGGAUUGGAGGCUGCAA
RNAcentral lists this ribosomal RNA (672 nucleotides) under uncultured bacterium. Its description in RNAcentral is "bacterial SSU rRNA". It matches the Rfam family "Bacterial small subunit ribosomal RNA", at positions 638 to 1310 of the family's 1533-position model. The record is from RNAcentral.